Molecule: long non-coding RNA, 697 nt
Filed under: Citrus sinensis (sweet orange)
Lineage: Eukaryota; Viridiplantae; Streptophyta; Magnoliopsida; Sapindales; Rutaceae
Description: long non-coding RNA (CSIN_LNC004919)
Source: RNAcentral
AUUUUUUUAAUAUAAAUAUAAAAGAAAGAAAGGGAAAGAGGAGCCCUAGCACAACCGGACCUAGUUUGCAAUUCACAUUUUCCUCUUCUCAAAUCUCACAUCUGCGGGCUGCUAACCAUAUUUCGUCUUCUCUUCACCAAAUCAAAUCAUUGUCGUCAUCGCUUCAGCCAUUUCCUCUUCUCUACGUUCAUUAUCAACAUCAUCAGUUGCUUUGUUCCUCUUCUCUGCGCUGUCAAGACAUCCAACCCUUCUCAAUCGUUCAACUGCUGCAAAAUUGAGUGGACUAGCUUCCACCUCUAAGCCCACCUCUGCUUCUCUCUUGUCAUCUCUUCAUAAACUUUCUCUCUCUCCAUGGUUCCAGUGGAACUGGGUGGGGGCUCGCUUGUCAACACUUCACAAACUCUCUCUCUCCAUAGUUCUCGUGGAGAUGGUUUGUGGGUGCUUCCUUUGACGUCAUUGCAUGGUGGAUCUGGGUGGGCCUUUGUGUUUGAUGCCAUUCAAAAUUAACUGUAAUUUUCAUGCGUCCACUUAUUAUAUUAAUUUAAUCUUAAUAUUUUUUGGCAGUAAUUGUAGCAUCUCUAUAUCUCUAUAAGCUUCUAUCAUGUGUACUUGACAGAAUAUCAUCAACUAAGAAAAAAAUGUUUCAUCUGGUUUAAUCUGUGAUUGAAAUGUAGUGUCCAACUUCAUAAGGAGAUGG